ACCUAUUUCCCAUGGCUCAAAAUAAAAAUCAGUUGACACUAUUAACAGAAGUCAAAGAUGCCUGGCUACACUCACUUGGCACCAUUAUUUUUAUCUUCAGUGAGGGAAUAAAAGAAUUCACUAUGCAUUGCCUCAGGGAUCAUCUAUGUCAUCUGGUCUUGAAUUACGUCCUGUUCCUCCAUGAAAAUUAAAAACUGAGAGGUAAAGUGAUGUUUCUGAGAAUAGCAAGGAGGACACAGCAGAAUACCAAGGAUGACCAGACACAACUAGUAGAAGGAAGAAUGCAAUGCUUUCUUAUGGUCCAUCCUGUCAGGAACACAUGGGAAGAGACCUCAGGCAGCAGGAAGAAGAAGCUUAGAAGAUUUUAUCCACAUGUAGGAACCAAAGAGUGCAAACUGACUCUAGGGCAAGAUUGUGCGGUUUAUCUUAGUUAGGGUUUCUAUUCCCGUGAGAAGACACCAUGACCACGGCAACUCUUACAAAGGAAAACAUUUAAUUGAGGUGGCGGCUUACAAUUACACAGGUUCAGUCCAUGAUCAUCAUGGUGGGGAGCAUGGCACCAUGCAGGAAGAUGAGGUGCUGGCUACAUCUCAAUCAGAAGGCAACCGGAAGUGGACUGUGACACCAACAGAAGCUUAAGCAAAAGAGACUUCAAAGUCUGCCCCACAGUGACAUACUUCCUUCAGCAAGGCCACAUCUAUUUUCAACAAGGCCGCAUCUCCCAACAGUAUCACUCCCUAUGCUCUUAUGGGGGCUAAUUACAUUCAAACUACCACAUUCUACUCACUGGC
This is a long non-coding RNA of Mesocricetus auratus (golden hamster), 791 nucleotides long. RefSeq lists it as uncharacterized. The transcript is spliced from 3 exons. Lineage: Eukaryota; Metazoa; Chordata; Mammalia; Rodentia; Cricetidae. The record is from RefSeq and is a predicted model, not a curated record.